AUGUCGCAUCUCCUGCAGAAACUUUUGCCUGAGACCCUGCCACGGGCAUGGUUAUUUCUCUUCCUCUUCUUCCUCGUCGUGUCUGUGCAGUACUGGAUCACCGAAAAGUUCGGUGCAAAAAGGAGGCAGCGCCUCCCGCCUUCACCGCCGGCGCUGCCCAUCAUCGGGCACCUCCACCUCAUCGGUUCCCUCCCCCACGUCUCCCUCCGCAGCCUAGCAAGGAAGCAUGGCCCCGACGUGAUGCUCCUUCACCUGGGCGCCGUGCCCAACCUCGUUGUGUCCUCCUCACGCGCUGCGGAGGCAGUACUGCGCACUCACGACCACGUCUUUGCAUCACGGCCCCACUCCGUAGUCUCUGACACCAUCAUGUAUGGCUCGGCUGACAUCGGCUUCGCCCCAUACGGUGAGUACUGGCGGCAAGCAAGGAAGCUCGUCACCACACACAUGCUGAGCGUUAAGAAGGUGCGGUCUUUCCGCGGCGCCGCUGCAGAGGAGGUCAGCAUGGCGAUGGCCAAGAUCAACCAGGCAGCAGCUGCCGAUGCUGCAGUAGACAUGAGCGAGCUGCUCCACACAUUCGCGAAUGACAUGGCAUGCCGCAUUGUGUCGGGGAAGUUCUUCUUGAAAGAUGGUCAAAGUAAGUUGUUCCGGGAACUCAUCAAGGAUACCUCACGGCUGCUAGGCGGGUUCAAUUUGGAGGAGUACUUCCCUGCAGUCGGUAGGGUAGGAGUGGUGAAGAAGGCGGUUUGUGCCAAGGCCGAAAGAGUGAGGAACAGAUGGGCCGAUCUGUUGGAGAAGGUGAUCGACGAUCGUGUGAGCAAGCGCAAUUCAACGUCUGAUCACAAGGAUGAUGAUUUUGUGGAUAUUAUGUUGUCUGUCCAACAUGAGUAUGAUCUCACAAGAGAGCACAUGAAAGCUCUCCUGACCGAUGUAUUUUUUGGUGCAAUAGACACAUCAGCUAACGCCCUCGAAUUCACCUUGGCUGAGCUCAUGAGGAAGCCACACCUGAUGGUGAAGCUACAAGAUGAGGUGAGGGGUAUUGUACCCCAAGGACAAGAAAUUAUCAGUGAGACCGACAUGAACAACAUGACGUACCUAAGAGCAGUCAUAAAAGAGUCGCUCCGGCUACAUCCUCUUGCUCCUCUCCUUGCUCCGCACCUUGCCAUGGCUGACUGCAUCAUCGAUGGAUACAUAGUUCCUGCUGGGACGCGUGUGGUCAUCAAUGCUUGGGCCAUUGGUAGGGAUCCGAGCUCCUGGGAGUAUGCGGAAGAGUUCAUUCCUGAAAGAUUUACAGAUGAAGGCAGCAGCAUGCAUGUCAACUUCAAGGGGAAUGAUUUCCAAUUCUUGCCGUUUGGAGCAGGACGGAGGAUGUGCCCUGGUAUGAACCUUGGGAUCGCAAAUGUGGAGCUUAUGUUGGCAAACCUUGUGUGCCAUUUUGACUGGCAACUUCCGCUUGGGGUUGAGAGAAAAGACAUUGAUAUGACAGAGGUGUUUGGGCUAACCGUUCGUCGGAAGGAGAAACUAUUGUUUAUUCCAAAAUCACGCAUGUAG
Molecule: ribosomal RNA, 1548 nt
Filed under: Triticum aestivum (bread wheat)
Lineage: Eukaryota; Viridiplantae; Streptophyta; Magnoliopsida; Poales; Poaceae
Description: partial small subunit ribosomal RNA
Source: RNAcentral